Molecule: long non-coding RNA, 1488 nt
Filed under: Anas zonorhyncha (Eastern spot-billed duck)
Lineage: Eukaryota; Metazoa; Chordata; Aves; Anseriformes; Anatidae
Description: lncRNA (ENSAZOG00000012881.1)
Source: RNAcentral
GUGUGUGGGAGAAAGGAGGCCCUUGCCCUGUGAGCCACUUCUGUCCCGAAGGAAGCAGCUUUCCCUUAGCGUGCCUUGCAGGGACUUACAACAACCUCACCAGACAAGCUGCGUGCUUUCCUUGUGCUGCAGGCUACUACUGCCCAGAAAAUACUACCAGCUACAGUGUGAAUCCAUGCCCAGCUGGCUUCUACUGCCCCAGAGGAGACUGUGCUGAGGGAUUCUGGUGCAAAAGUGGUGCCCGAGUAAGAAAUCCUCAAGAUGGAGAAUCAGGACUUCCUUGUCCACCUGGUCAUUAUUGUCCAGAAGGUAGGGUGCUUUGCUAAAGCACAUUUUUUCAUAUUUCAUGUAAAGCACGAGGUGGCAUUUCCUCCCUCUGGUGCCAUUCAUUUUGCCAGGUGCACCACUUCCCCUAGAGUGCCCUCCUGGCACUUGGUGUGGCAGUGAAGGCAGCAGCAGUUUGCAGCAAUGCCUGCCUUGCCCUGGGGGAUACUACUGCAAUAGCUCUGGACAGAGGGCUCCCACAGGACCCUGCAGCCCAGGGUAAGAGAAGAUUGAACACAUUUAUGUACUCUUUAUAAGGAAAGGUGUUCUCCAAGUGGUCUUCUUCACCAUCUUGAUAUAAUGACAGUAUGCUCCUAUACUCACUGCUGCAGGUAUUACUGUGUCACCAGGGCCCAGACCCCAGCACCCACAGACGGCCUCUUGGGAGCUCCAUGUCCUGUCAAUCACUUUUGUCCUCUUGGAUCCAGGAGUCCAACACCAUGUCCUGCUGGCUCCUACAUGCCACAGACCCAUGGAGAGAAGUGCCAUGCUUGCCCAGAGGGUGAAUACUGUGUUCCUGGGGAGAAGCCAGAGCCAUGUCCCCGGGGUGAGUUAGGAUUCCCCUUACACGCCUGGUUUGCUGUAGAUUUUCUGAAGACUGCUAAUGCUGACCUGCUCUUUCUUUUCCAGGGCACUUCUGUCCCAAGGGCACAGCUCUUCCAGUGGCUUGUCCAGCAGGGUCAUAUAACCCCUCACAAAGGCAAUCCAGCUGCCUCCCCUGUCCUGAAGGGUUCUUCUGCCCCAAAAAUUCCUCUUCAUUUUUGGAGAAUGAGUGUUCAGCUGGCCACUACUGCCCUACCGGUACUGCUGCUGCCACUCAGUUUCCAUGUCCCCAGGGAACUUACAACCCACAAAAUGGAAGCAGCCUCCUGUCUCACUGUACCCCCUGUGACCCAGAUAACAAUCAGUGGAGGACCGUGUCCACCUGGACAUUACUGCAUGGUGGGGAGCAGCAGAGCCCAGCCUUGCCCUGCAGGGAGUUAUAACCCAUCCUGGAGUAUGGCACAAUGUUUGGAGUGCCCGGAAGGUUUUUACUGUAAGACUGCUUCCACAAACUACACAGAUUGCCCUGCAGGUGAGAGAGUUUUGGCAGUAGACAUUUAUAACAUACUUGGAGAUGUUAUUAAAAAACUGGUUGCUGUUAAAACUAUUGCUAAUCCUCAG